GACAGAGGGUGCAAGCGUUGUUCGGAAUUACUGGGCGUAAAGCGCACGUAGGCGGUCCGCUAAGUCAUGUGUGAAAUCCCCCGGCUCAACCGGGGAAUGGCGCCUGAUACUGGCGGACUCGAGAUCGGUAGGGGUGAGUGGAACUCCAGGUGGAGCGGUGAAAUGCGUAGAUAUCUGGAGGAACACCGGUGGCGAAAGCGACUCACUGGACCGACACUGACGCUGAGGUGCGAAAGCUAGGGUAGCAAACGGG
This 253-nucleotide ribosomal RNA is filed under the name uncultured bacterium. RNAcentral's name for it is "partial 16S ribosomal RNA". It matches the Rfam family "Bacterial small subunit ribosomal RNA", at positions 524 to 776 of the family's 1533-position model. The record is from RNAcentral.